GACGAACGCUGGCGGCGUGCCUAAUACAUGCAAGUAGAACGCACAGUUUAUACCGUAGCUUGCUACACCAUAGACUGUGAGUUGCGAACGGGUGAGUAACGCGUAAGUAACCUGCCUGGUAGCGGGGGAUAACUAUUGGAAACGAUAGCUAAUACCGCAUAAUAUUAAUUAUUGCAUGAUAAUUAAUUGAAAGGUGCAAUUGCACCACUACCAGAUGGACCUGCGUUGUAUUAGCUAGUAGGUGAGGUAACGGCUCACCUAGGCGACGAUACAUAGCCGACCUGAGAGGGUGAUCGGCCACACUGGGACUGAGACACGGCCCAGACUCCUACGGGAGGCAGCAGUAGGGAAUCUUCGGCAAUGGACGAAAGGCUGACCGAGCAACGCCGCGUGGGUGAAGAAGGUUUUCGGAUCGUAAAGCUCUGUUGUAAGAGAAGAACGGGGGUGAGAGUGGAAAGUUCACACUGUGACGGUAUCUUACCAGAAAGGGACGGCUAACUACGUG
Molecule: ribosomal RNA, 505 nt
Filed under: uncultured bacterium
Lineage: Bacteria
Description: partial 16S ribosomal RNA
Rfam family: Bacterial small subunit ribosomal RNA
Source: RNAcentral